Hordeum vulgare subsp. vulgare (domesticated barley) is the source of this 124-nucleotide non-coding RNA. NCBI's taxonomy places the organism in Eukaryota, Viridiplantae, Streptophyta, Magnoliopsida, Poales, Poaceae. The record is from Rfam.
UAUAUACUCCCUCCGUCCGUAAAUACUUGUCCUAAAAAUGGAUGUAUCUAGACUUAUUUUAGUUAUAGAUACAUGAAUUUUAUUUAUUUUUAGUGCAAGUAUUUUCGGACGGAGGGAGUAUGAG